CGAGCAGGCAGCCUUAUCGCUGGCUACGGUCAGAGGAAAGUCCGGGCACCACAGAACAGCAUAGCGGAUAACAUCCGCCGGUUGUAAAACCAGGACAAGUGCAACAGAAAGAAUGUACAGGUAAUGCUGUAGUGAAAUCAGGUAAACUCUAUGCGGUGAAAUGCCAUGUAAACCAAUGUUUGAGGGCUGUUCGCCUGAUGUUGGAGGGUAGGCAGAUUGAGCGUUGGAGUAAUCCUCCGCCUAGAUAAAUGAUAAGGGAUUCGUCACGACGGAUUACAGAACCCGGCUUAUUGCCUGCUUUUAUU
Molecule: RNase P RNA, 305 nt
Filed under: Avrilella dinanensis
Lineage: Bacteria; Pseudomonadati; Bacteroidota; Flavobacteriia; Flavobacteriales; Flavobacteriaceae
Description: Bacterial RNase P class A
Rfam family: Bacterial RNase P class A
About the family: Ribonuclease P (RNase P) is a ubiquitous endoribonuclease, found in archaea, bacteria and eukarya as well as chloroplasts and mitochondria. Its best characterised activity is the generation of mature 5'-ends of tRNAs by cleaving the 5'-leader elements of precursor-tRNAs. Cellular RNase Ps are ribonucleoproteins.
Source: Rfam by way of RNAcentral